RNAcentral lists this transfer RNA (72 nucleotides) under Bos taurus (domestic cattle). It matches the Rfam family "tRNA". Rfam says of the family: Transfer RNA (tRNA) molecules are approximately 80 nucleotides in length. Their secondary structure includes four short double-helical elements and three loops (D, anti-codon, and T loops). Further hydrogen bonds mediate the characteristic L-shaped molecular structure. tRNAs have two regions of fundamental functional importance: the anti-codon, which is responsible for specific mRNA codon recognition, and the 3' end, to which the tRNAs corresponding amino acid is attached (by aminoacyl-tRNA synthetases). tRNAs cope with the degeneracy of the genetic code in two manners: having more than one tRNA (with a specific anti-codon) for a particular amino acid; and 'wobble' base-pairing, i.e. permitting non-standard base-pairing at the 3rd anti-codon position. RNAcentral also lists the same sequence under 5 other names. Lineage: Eukaryota; Metazoa; Chordata; Mammalia; Artiodactyla; Bovidae. The record is from Rfam by way of RNAcentral.
UCCCUGGCAGUCUACUGGUUAAGAUUCUGCUCUUCCAAUGCAGAGGCACAGGUUCAAUCCCUAAUCAGGGAA